GAAGCCCGCCAGGCCGCCGCUGGUGCAAUCGCCGAAAGGCCGCACUGGAGGAACGUCCGGACUGCAAAGGGCAGCGUAGCAGGUAACACCUGUCCGCCGUGAGGCGAGGAUCAGAGCAACAGAGACGAGUCCUGCAUUCGAAAGGGUGUGGGGGUGAAACGGGCAAUCUCUACGCGCAGCAAUACCAAAUAGGCCAGCGUUGAUGUGGCUCCGCGGAGCUGGCGGGUAGGUAGCAUCGAGCCGGUGGCGCGAGCCCCGGCCCAGAAGAAUGGCGGUCACGUGUGGGCGACCACACGCACAAAAUCCGGCGUAUCGGCGGGCUUCACAC
RNAcentral lists this RNase P RNA (328 nucleotides) under Ramlibacter agri. RNAcentral describes it as "Bacterial RNase P class A". It matches the Rfam family "Bacterial RNase P class A". Rfam says of the family: Ribonuclease P (RNase P) is a ubiquitous endoribonuclease, found in archaea, bacteria and eukarya as well as chloroplasts and mitochondria. Its best characterised activity is the generation of mature 5'-ends of tRNAs by cleaving the 5'-leader elements of precursor-tRNAs. Cellular RNase Ps are ribonucleoproteins. Lineage: Bacteria; Pseudomonadati; Pseudomonadota; Betaproteobacteria; Burkholderiales; Comamonadaceae. The record is from Rfam by way of RNAcentral.